CCUACGGGGUGCUGCAGUGAGGAAUAUUGGUCAAUGGGCGUAAGCCUGAACCAGCCAAGUCGCGUGAGGGAUGAAGGUUCUAUGGAUCGUAAACCUCUUUUAUAAGGGAAUAAAGUGUGGGACGUGUCCUGUUUUGUAUGUACCUUAUGAAUAAGGAUUGGCUAACUCCGUGCCAGCAGCCGCGGUAAUACGGAGGAUCCGAGCGUUAUCCGGAUUUAUUGGGUUUAAAGGGUGCGUAGGCGGCCUUUUAAGUCAGCGGUGAAAGUCUGUGGCUCAACCAUAGAAUUGCCGUUGAAACUGGGAGGCUUGAGUAUGUUUGAGGCAGGCGGAAGGCGUGGUGUAGCGGUGAAAUGCUUAGAUAUCACGCAGAACCCCGAUUGCGAAGGCAGCCUGCCAAGCCAUGACUGACGCUGAUGCACGAAAGCGUGGGGAUCAAACAGGAUUAGAUACCCGAGUAGUC
RNAcentral lists this ribosomal RNA (460 nucleotides) under uncultured bacterium. RNAcentral describes it as "partial 16S ribosomal RNA". It matches the Rfam family "Bacterial small subunit ribosomal RNA", at positions 338 to 795 of the family's 1533-position model. The record is from RNAcentral.